GCUGAAUGUGGGGAUAAUUUAUCUCUGUGUUGUAGCUAACGCGUUAAGCACUCCGCCUGGGGACUACGGUCGCAAGACUAAAACUCAAAGGAAUUGACGGGGACCCGCACAAGCGGUGGAGCAUGUGGUUUAAUUCGAUGCAACGCGAAAAACCUUACCACUCCUUGACAUGGAGAUUAGAUCCUUCUUAACGGAAGGGCGCAGUUCGGCUGGAUCUCGCACAGGUGCUGCAUGGCUGUCGUCAGCUCGUGUCGUGAGAUGUUGGGUUAAGUCCCGCAACGAGCGUAACCCUCAUCCUUAGUUGCCAGCGGGUUAAGCCGGGCACUUUAAGGAAACUGCCAGUGGUAAACUGGAGGAAGGUGGGGAUGAUGUCAAGUCAGCACGGCCCUUAUGGGGUGGGCUACACACGUGCUACAAUGGUGACUACAAUAGGUUGCAAUGUCGCAAGGCUGAGCUAAUCCGUAAAAGUCAUCUCAGUUCGGAUUGUCCUCUGCAACUCGAGGGCAUGAAGUCGGAAUCGCUAGUAAUCGUGGAUCAGCAUGCCACGGUGAAUACGUUCUCGGGUCUUGUACACACUGCCCGUCACGCCAUGGGAAUUGGCUUAACUCGAAGCUGGUGCGCUAACCGAAAGGAAGCAGCCAA
This 642-nucleotide ribosomal RNA is filed under the name Anaplasma phagocytophilum. Its description in RNAcentral is "bacterial SSU rRNA". It matches the Rfam family "Bacterial small subunit ribosomal RNA", at positions 815 to 1456 of the family's 1533-position model. Lineage: Bacteria; Pseudomonadati; Pseudomonadota; Alphaproteobacteria; Rickettsiales; Anaplasmataceae. The record is from RNAcentral.